Molecule: non-coding RNA, 72 nt
Organism: Gekko japonicus
Lineage: Eukaryota; Metazoa; Chordata; Lepidosauria; Squamata; Gekkonidae
Source: the annotation of a RefSeq genome assembly
GGGGUUGUGGCUCAGUGGCAGAGCAUCUGUCCAGCAAGCAGAAGGUCCCAGGUUCAAUUCCUGCCACCUCCA